UAGGGAAUCUUCCACAAUGGACGCAAGUCUGAUGGAGCAACGCCGCGUGAGUGAAGAAGGUUUUCGGACCGUAAAGCUCUGUUGUUGGUGAAGAAGGAUAGAGGUAGUAACUGGCCUUUAUUUGACGGUAAUCAACCAGAAAGUCACGGCUAACUACGUGCCAGCAGCCGCGGUAAUACGUAGGUGGCAAGCGUUGUCCGGAUUUAUUGGGCGUAAAGCGAGCGCAGGCGGAAGAAUAAGUCUGAUGUGAAAGCCCUCGGCUUAACCGAGGAAUUGCAUCGGAAACUGUUUUCUUGAGUGCAGAAGAGGAGAGUAGAACUCCAUGUGUAGCGGUGGAAUGCGUAGAUAUAUGGAAGAAUACCAGUGGCGAAGGCGGCUCUCUGGUCUGCAACUGACGCUGAGGCUCGAAAGCAUGGGUAGCGAACAGGAUUAGAUACCCUGGUAGUCCAUGCCGUAAACGAUGAGUGCUAAGUGUUGGGAGGCUUCCGCCUCUCAGUGCUGCAGCUAACGCAUUAAGUACUCCGCCUGGGGGAGUACGACCGCAAGGUUGAAAC
This 554-nucleotide ribosomal RNA is filed under the name uncultured bacterium. Its description in RNAcentral is "partial 16S ribosomal RNA". It matches the Rfam family "Bacterial small subunit ribosomal RNA", at positions 355 to 900 of the family's 1533-position model. The record is from RNAcentral.